CAUUAUUUUAGGGUAUAGAACAACCUGAAAUAGUGAACAGAUCCACAGAUCUCUCACUUUAUUAUCUCCACACGGUUUAUUGUCCCUUUCUGCCCGAGUGAAAGAAAACAAAGCCACAAAACCAAACAAAACAGAAAUUAUAAUUAGAAAAAAUCCACUAGAUGCUGACAUGCAGUCAAACUAUCCAGAAAAAAAAACAGAGCAUUACAAAAUAGCCGCUCAGCAUGGUGUCCUUUUCUAGCACCGAUAAUCUUUGUACCGUUUAAUGCUGCGCCCAACACAAAAGCAACACAAUCACGACGGUAAAAAAUUUUAAGUGUGGACGUGCUAUAUGAUUAAACAGAAUUGUUCCACUGUGUGGACGACUGAAAACAUGCAGAUUUGAUUUGUGAGUGGAAACAACUGGAAAGAACGUUCGAGAAAGUCUAAAAAUACAACUACCUCGAACGGUAUGUUGGCCUUUCCGUGCAUUUGGUGUAAAUAUGGCACUAACUUUAUAGAGCCCUGAGGAUGACUUAAAUAUAGUCGUAACGUCAGCAGAUGAAAAA
Long non-coding RNA from Dendroctonus ponderosae (mountain pine beetle), 548 nucleotides. RefSeq lists it as uncharacterized. Lineage: Eukaryota; Metazoa; Arthropoda; Insecta; Coleoptera; Curculionidae. The record is from RefSeq and is a predicted model, not a curated record. The transcript has 2 exons.